CUAGCCUGUUAUCUGUGAUAAAGCACACUGAAGUUAGGUUUGGAAUGCAUCCUUAUCAUGAAUGCUCUACACCUCCACCUCCAUCUCCCACAACCUAGGUAACAGCUUUGAGACUCACUAAAAGUUGAGUCCCCUGAAUGAUGUAGGCUAUGGGGCCACAUAAGACUUUGUCCAUCCAGGGUUACAUAGCACGACAACUUUAAACUAAAAAACCAACAUUUUUCACACAACUCCAGGUUGUUACUAACAAAUUACAAGUGUCAUCAAGGGAUAACUACAAGUAGAAGCACCAUUUUUGGAUGGAAAAAACCCUUCAGGAAAGUAUACAUAUCAAAUGUAACAUGUAGUGUAACAAAGUAUGAACAGUAAGGUUUUUACAUACAGUAUUACAUACGUACAUAACUUUUUUUUACAGGAAUUUCCAACCAAGUUUGAUUAUGUACAUUGUAUACAUGUUAUAAACCACUGUACGUAUGGUUACUGUAUGUAACUUACUAAACAUACAUACAUGACUUAACUUUGAUACUUUUUUGGUACAUUCCAGAAACCCAGGACCCCCUCCAUGAUGCAGGCUAUGGGGCCACAUAAAACUUUGUCCAGGGUUACUACAUAACAUAGCACGACAACUGUAAACUACUACAGUACUAAAGGUAAGGAAUUAUACAUAGUAGUAAUUAACAUACAUUAAGUAAGUUUUAUACUAAAAAAAGUGACCAAGAUCUCUCACAUGGGAUAAGUGAUCAAGGUCCCUCAUGGAAUUACGUACACUCCCUGCUGAACAGGGGGUGUAGACCAAUCAUUUACAACAUGCAUACCAGUUGAUAUUAAACCACUGUAUGGUGCAUAUUACUGUAUGUAACUUACUAUGCAUAGAGUACUUACUGACAAAAUU
Molecule: long non-coding RNA, 892 nt
Organism: Macrobrachium nipponense
Lineage: Eukaryota; Metazoa; Arthropoda; Malacostraca; Decapoda; Palaemonidae
Exons: 3
Source: RefSeq, a predicted model, not a curated record